CAAUAGCGUAUAUUAAAGUUGUUGCAGUUAAAAAGCUCGUAGUUGGAUUUCUGGUGGGAGCGAUCGGUCUGGCGCUUAGCGCGAGUACUUGCAUCGUCUCCGGCCAUCCUUGGGGAGAGUCUGUCUGGCAUUAGGUUGUCGGGCAGAGGAUCCUCAUCGUUUACUGUGAAAAAAUUAGAGUGUUCAAAGCAGGCUUAUGCCGUUGAAUAUAUUAGCAUGGAAUAAUAAGAUAGGACUUUGGUACUAUUUUGUUGGUUUGCGCACCAAAGUAAUGAUUAAUAGGGACAGUUGGGGGUAUUCGUAUUCCGUUGUCAGAGGUGAAAUUCUUGGAUUUACGGAAGACGAACUACUGCGAAAGCGUUUACCAAGGAUGUUUUCAUUAA
RNAcentral lists this ribosomal RNA (383 nucleotides) under uncultured eukaryote. RNAcentral describes it as "partial 18S ribosomal RNA". It matches the Rfam family "Eukaryotic small subunit ribosomal RNA", at positions 592 to 976 of the family's 1831-position model. The record is from RNAcentral.